This 301-nucleotide ribosomal RNA is filed under the name uncultured bacterium. RNAcentral describes it as "partial 16S ribosomal RNA". It matches the Rfam family "Bacterial small subunit ribosomal RNA", at positions 509 to 807 of the family's 1533-position model. The record is from RNAcentral.
CAGUCGCCACGGGAAUAGGUAGGGUGCGAGCGUUAAUCGGAAUUACUGGGCGUAAAGCGUGCGCAGGCGGUUAUAUAAGACAGAUGUGAAAUCCCCGGGCUCAACCUGGGACCUGCAUUUGUGACUGUAUAGCUAGAGUACGGUAGAGGGGGAUGGAAUUCCGCGUGUAGCAGUGAAAUGCGUAGAUAUGCGGAGGAACACCGAUGGCGAAGGCAAUCCCCUGGACCUGUACUGACGCUCAUGCACGAAAGCGUGGGGAGCAAACAGGAUUAGAUACCCGUGUAGUCCCUGUCUCUUAUAC